This 1506-nucleotide ribosomal RNA is filed under the name Escherichia coli 6-175-07_S1_C2. RNAcentral's name for it is "bacterial LSU rRNA". It matches the Rfam family "Bacterial large subunit ribosomal RNA", at positions 1440 to 2925 of the family's 2925-position model. Lineage: Bacteria; Pseudomonadati; Pseudomonadota; Gammaproteobacteria; Enterobacterales; Enterobacteriaceae. The record is from RNAcentral.
UGUACUUGGUGUUACUGCGAAGGGGGGACGGAGAAGGCUAUGUUGGCCGGGCGACGGUUGUCCCGGUUUAAGCGUGUAGGCUGGUUUUCCAGGCAAAUCCGGAAAAUCAAGGCUGAGGCGUGAUGACGAGGCACUACGGUGCUGAAGCAACAAAUGCCCUGCUUCCAGGAAAAGCCUCUAAGCAUCAGGUAACAUCAAAUCGUACCCCAAACCGACACAGGUGGUCAGGUAGAGAAUACCAAGGCGCUUGAGAGAACUCGGGUGAAGGAACUAGGCAAAAUGGUGCCGUAACUUCGGGAGAAGGCACGCUGAUAUGUAGGUGAAGCGACUUGCUCGUGGAGCUGAAAUCAGUCGAAGAUACCAGCUGGCUGCAACUGUUUAUUAAAAACACAGCACUGUGCAAACACGAAAGUGGACGUAUACGGUGUGACGCCUGCCCGGUGCCGGAAGGUUAAUUGAUGGGGUUAGCGGUAACGCGAAGCUCUUGAUCGAAGCCCCGGUAAACGGCGGCCGUAACUAUAACGGUCCUAAGGUAGCGAAAUUCCUUGUCGGGUAAGUUCCGACCUGCACGAAUGGCGUAAUGAUGGCCAGGCUGUCUCCACCCGAGACUCAGUGAAAUUGAACUCGCUGUGAAGAUGCAGUGUACCCGCGGCAAGACGGAAAGACCCCGUGAACCUUUACUAUAGCUUGACACUGAACAUUGAGCCUUGAUGUGUAGGAUAGGUGGGAGGCUUUGAAGUGUGGACGCCAGUCUGCAUGGAGCCGACCUUGAAAUACCACCCUUUAAUGUUUGAUGUUCUAACGUUGGCCCGUGAUCCGGGUUGCGGACAGUGUCUGGUGGGUAGUUUGACUGGGGCGGUCUCCUCCUAAAGAGUAACGGAGGAGCACGAAGGUUGGCUAAUCCUGGUCGGACAUCAGGAGGUUAGUGCAAUGGCAUAAGCCAGCUUGACUGCGAGCGUGACGGCGCGAGCAGGUGCGAAAGCAGGUCAUAGUGAUCCGGUGGUUCUGAAUGGAAGGGCCAUCGCUCAACGGAUAAAAGGUACUCCGGGGAUAACAGGCUGAUACCGCCCAAGAGUUCAUAUCGACGGCGGUGUUUGGCACCUCGAUGUCGGCUCAUCACAUCCUGGGGCUGAAGUAGGUCCCAAGGGUAUGGCUGUUCGCCAUUUAAAGUGGUACGCGAGCUGGGUUUAGAACGUCGUGAGACAGUUCGGUCCCUAUCUGCCGUGGGCGCUGGAGAACUGAGGGGGGCUGCUCCUAGUACGAGAGGACCGGAGUGGACGCAUCACUGGUGUUCGGGUUGUCAUGCCAAUGGCACUGCCCGGUAGCUAAAUGCGGAAGAGAUAAGUGCUGAAAGCAUCUAAGCACGAAACUUGCCCCGAGAUGAGUUCUCCCUGACUCCCUGAGAGUCCUGAAGGAACGUUGAAGACGACGACGUUGAUAGGCCGGGUGUGUAAGCGCAGCGAUGCGUUGAGCUAACCGGUACUAAUGAACCGUGAGGCUUAACCU